This 315-nucleotide long non-coding RNA is filed under the name Hordeum vulgare. Its description in RNAcentral is "long non-coding RNA (HVUL_LNC005322)". The record is from RNAcentral. Lineage: Eukaryota; Viridiplantae; Streptophyta; Magnoliopsida; Poales; Poaceae.
UCAGAUUUAUUUUUUGGCCUCUUCGUGUCUGAGGUUAAUGAGCAUGAAAAGAUAUAACCUGCUAUGAUAAAACAGCGAAGCCUUUAAAAUCCGUUAUAGCUGAGCAAGAUUGUGUGAUUUGUGUCUCUAUAGCGAAUGAUUGUAUAUUUAUUUCAUUUACCAAGGCAUUACUUAGAACGUUAUAGAGUGCUAUUAGUAACGUUAUAGGGUGCUAUUUUUUCAUUGAUGAUGCGACAAAUUCCUACAAUUUUGAAAGGGAAGAUUGUGUGUAAGUGUCAAAAGUCGGAACCCCUAAUAUCUUAGAUGAAUGCUAGU